This 253-nucleotide ribosomal RNA is filed under the name uncultured bacterium. RNAcentral's name for it is "partial 16S ribosomal RNA". It matches the Rfam family "Bacterial small subunit ribosomal RNA", at positions 524 to 776 of the family's 1533-position model. The record is from RNAcentral.
UACGUAGGGGGCAAGCGUUGUCCGGAUUUAUUGGGCGUAAAGAGCGUGUAGGCGGCCAGGUAGGUCCGUUGUGAAAACUGGAGGCUUAACCUCCAGCUGUCGAUGGAAACCAUCUGGCUAGAGUCCGGAAGAGGAGAGUGGAAUUCCUGGUGUAGCGGUGAAAUGCGCAGAUAUCAGGAGGAACACCGAUGGCGAAGGCAGCUCGCUGGGACGGUACUGACGCUGAGGCGCGAAAGCGUGGGGAGCAAACGGG